GAUGAACGCUGGCGGCGUGCCUAAUACAUGCAAGUCGAGCGAACGGACGAGAAGCUUGCUUCUCUGAUGUUAGCGGCGGACGGGUGAGUAACACGUGGAUAACCUACCUCUAAGACUGGGAUAACUUCGGGAAACCGGAGCUACUACUGGAUAAUAUUUUGAACCGCAUGGUUCAAAAGUGAAAGACGGUCUUGCUGUCACUUAUAGAUGGAUCCGCGCUGCAUUAGCUAGUUGGUAAGGUAACGGCGUACCAAGGCAACGAUGCAUAGCCGACCUGAGAGGGUGAUCGGCCACACUGGAACUGAGACACGGUCCAGACUCCUACGGGAGGCAGCAGUAGGGAAUCUUCCGCAAUGGGCGAAAGCCUGACGGAGCAACGCCGCGUGAGUGAUGAAGGUCUUCGGAUCGUAAAACUCUUUUAUUAGGGAAGAACAUAUGUGUAAGUAACUGUGCACAUCUUGACGGUACCUAAUCAGAAAGCCACGGCUAACUACGUG
This 497-nucleotide ribosomal RNA is filed under the name uncultured bacterium. Its description in RNAcentral is "partial 16S ribosomal RNA". It matches the Rfam family "Bacterial small subunit ribosomal RNA", at positions 28 to 507 of the family's 1533-position model. The record is from RNAcentral.